AGAGUUUGAUCCUGGCUCAGGACGAACGCUGGCGGCGUGCCUAACACAUGCAAGUCGAGCGAUGAAACCCUUCGGGGUGGAUUAGCGGCGGACGGGUGAGUAACACGUGGGUAACCUGCCUCAAAGAGGGGGAUAGCCUCCCGAAAGGGAGAUUAAUACCGCAUAAGAUUAGUUUUUCGCAUGGAGAACUAAUUAAAGGAGUAAUCCGCUUUGAGAUGGACCCGCGGCGCAUUAGCUAGUUGGUGAGGUAAAGGCUCACCAAGGCGACGAUGCGUAGCCGACCUGAGAGGGUGAUCGGCCACAUUGGAACUGAGACACGGUCCAGACUCCUACGGGAGGCAGCAGUGGGGAAUAUUGCACAAUGGGCGAAAGCCUGAUGCAGCAACGCCGCGUGAGUGAUGAAGGCCUUCGGGUUGUAAAGCUCUGUCUUUGGGGACGAUAAUGACGGUACCCAAGGAGGAAGCCACGGCUAACUACGUGCCAGCAGCCGCGGUAAUACGUAGGUGGCGAGCGUUGUCCGGAUUUACUGGGCGUAAAGGAUGCGUAGGUGGAUAUUUAAGUCAGAUGUGAAAUACCCGAGCUUAACUUGGGUGCUGCAUUUGAAACUGGAUAUCUAGAGUGCAGGAGAGGUAAGUGGAAUUCCUAGUGUAGCGGUGAAAUGCGUAGAGAUUAGGAAGAACACCAGUGGCGAAGGCGACUUACUGGACUGUAACUGACACUGAGGCAUGAAAGCGUGGGUAGCAAACAGGAUUAGAUACCCUGGUAGUCCACGCCGUAAACGAUGAGUACUAGGUGUAGGAGGUAUCGACUCCUUCUGUGCCGCAGUUAACACAAUAAGUACUCCGCCUGGGAAGUACGAUCGCAAGAUUAAAACUCAAAGGAAUUGACGG
RNAcentral lists this ribosomal RNA (890 nucleotides) under uncultured bacterium. RNAcentral's name for it is "bacterial SSU rRNA". It matches the Rfam family "Bacterial small subunit ribosomal RNA", at positions 8 to 916 of the family's 1533-position model. The record is from RNAcentral.